UAAAAGCCUCUUUACAGUCGCCGUUCCCGACCUGUCGCGCGACAAUGUGACGUCAAAAUGGCGUAGAUCUCGCUGGCGCGCCAGGAUUUUAAGUGCCACUCUAUUUUAAUU
Sander lucioperca (pikeperch) is the source of this 111-nucleotide long non-coding RNA. RefSeq lists it as uncharacterized. The transcript has 3 exons. The record is from RefSeq and is a predicted model, not a curated record. Lineage: Eukaryota; Metazoa; Chordata; Actinopteri; Perciformes; Percidae.